Molecule: ribosomal RNA, 253 nt
Filed under: uncultured bacterium
Lineage: Bacteria
Description: partial 16S ribosomal RNA
Rfam family: Bacterial small subunit ribosomal RNA
Source: RNAcentral
UACAGAGGUCUCAAGCGUUGUUCGGAUUCAUUGGGCGUAAAGGGUGCGUAGGCGGCGCGGUAAGUCGGGUGUGAAAUCUCGGAGCUUAACUUCGAAACUGCAUUCGAUACUGCCGUGCUUGAGGACUGGAGAGGAGACUGGAAUUCAUGGUGUAGCAGUGAAAUGCGUAGAGAUCAUGAGGAAGACCAGUGGCGAAGGCGGGUCUCUGGACAGUUCCUGACACUGAGGCACGAAGGCCAGGGGAGCAAACGGG